ACGUGUCAACACAGGCAAGUUUUUCGGGACUUGCCCUGCUGUUUGGAUGUUGAAGGCUUGCUGGCGGUGAACAUUUUUCUGUCAGCUCCUUUUAAAUGCAUUAGCAGGAACCUUGCAGGACUGGCUUCAGUUUGAUAAGAUUGAACUGUUGCUAGAAUGCACUUUUUGUGUUGUUCCAGCUUCUAAUCGUCCAGCAAAACUGGACUGCCUCGCCUUGAGACAAUUACUAUUGAUA
Molecule: unclassified non-coding RNA, 235 nt
Filed under: uncultured Agaricales
Lineage: Eukaryota; Fungi; Basidiomycota; Agaricomycetes; Agaricales
Description: sequence contains ITS2
Source: RNAcentral